This 388-nucleotide ribosomal RNA is filed under the name uncultured Anaerococcus sp. RNAcentral's name for it is "bacterial SSU rRNA". It matches the Rfam family "Bacterial small subunit ribosomal RNA", at positions 30 to 298 of the family's 1533-position model. Lineage: Bacteria; Bacillati; Bacillota; Tissierellia; Tissierellales; Peptoniphilaceae. The record is from RNAcentral.
AUUGAACGCUGGCAGCAGGCCUAACACAUGCAAGUCGAGCGGUAGCACAGGAGAGCUUGCUCUCCGGGUGACGAGCGGCGGACGGGUGAGUAAUGUCUGGGAAACUGCCUGAUGGAGGGGGAUAACUACUGGAAAGGGAAGCUAAUACCGCAUAACGUCGCCAGAACCGAGAAGGGGACCUUAGGGGCUCUUGCCAUCACAUGUGCCCUCUUGGGAAAUAGCACGGGGGGGGGCGCUCUGUCCUGAUAGCGGACCGCCACACCCAGCCGGCCACGGUCGAUGAAUCCCGAAAAGCGGCCAUUUUCCACCAUGAUAUUCGGCAAGCGGGCCUCGGCAUGGGUCACGACAAGGUGCUCUCCCUCGAUGUGCUCUCCUUGAGCCUGGAGAA